This 456-nucleotide ribosomal RNA is filed under the name uncultured bacterium. Its description in RNAcentral is "bacterial SSU rRNA". It matches the Rfam family "Bacterial small subunit ribosomal RNA", at positions 349 to 793 of the family's 1533-position model. The record is from RNAcentral.
CAGCAGUGGGGGAAUAUUGCACAAUGGGCGCAAGCCUGAUGCAGCCAUGCCGCGUGUGUGAAGAAGGACCUUCGGGUUGUAAAGCACUUUCAGCAGUGAGGAAGGCGGAGUCGUUAAUAGCGGCUCGUUUGACGUUAGCUGCAGAAGAAAGCACCGGCUAACUCCGUGCCAGCAGCCGCGGUAAUACGGAGGGUGCGAGCGUUAAUCGGAAUUACUGGGCGUAAAGCGCAUGCAGGUGGUUCGUUAAGUCAGAUGUGAAAGACCCGGGGCUCAACCUCGGAAUUGCAUUUGAAACUGGCGGACUAGAGUACUGUAGAGGGGGGUAGGAAUUUCAGGUGUAGCGGUGAAAUGCGUAGAGAUCUGAAGGAAUACCGGUGGCGAAGGCGGCCCCCUGGACAGAUACUGACACUCAGAUGCGAAAGCGUGGGGAGCAAACAGGAUUAGAUACCCUGGUAG